AAUGUUUCUCGACCUUUUGGCUAAGAUCGUGUGUGUAGUAUCUGCUCUUAUCAGUUUAAUGUCUGAUAUGUCUCUUAUCUGGGACCAUAUAUUAAAUAGAUUUUUGGAACAGGGAGAAAGACUGAGAAGGGGCAGGUGCCCAAUUGGAAGCAAUGUCUCCUUAGCCUGAACAAGCAAAUAAGA
Protopterus annectens (West African lungfish) is the source of this 183-nucleotide small nuclear RNA. RefSeq annotates it as U2 spliceosomal RNA. NCBI's taxonomy places the organism in Eukaryota, Metazoa, Chordata, Ceratodontiformes, Protopteridae. The record is from RefSeq and is a predicted model, not a curated record. The transcript has a single exon.